Molecule: ribosomal RNA, 448 nt
Filed under: uncultured bacterium
Lineage: Bacteria
Description: bacterial SSU rRNA
Rfam family: Bacterial small subunit ribosomal RNA
Source: RNAcentral
UUUCGAAUCAUUCACAAUGGGCGAAAGCCUGAUGGUGCGACGCCGCGUGAGGGAUGAAGGCCUUCGGGUUGUAAACCUCUGUCACCGGGGAAGAAACGCUUCAAGUUAAUAGCUUGAAGCCUGACUUAACCCGGAGAGGAAGCAGUGGCUAACUCUGUGCCAGCAGCCGCGGUAAUACAGAGACUGCAAGCGUUAUUCGGAUUCACUGGGCGUAAAGGGUGCGCAGGCGGCCAAGUGUGUGAGGCGUGAAAGCCCGGGGCUUAACCCCGGAAUUGCACCUCAAACUACAUGGCUAGAGCAUUGGAGAGGGUAGCGGAAUUCACGGUGUAGCAGUGAAAUGCGUAGAUAUCGUGAGGAACACCAGAGGCGAAGGCGGCUACCUGGACAAUUGCUGACGCUCAGGCACGAAAGCGUGGGGAGCAAAAGGGAUUAGAUACCCCCGUAGUCC